This 32-nucleotide ribosomal RNA is filed under the name Cystofilobasidium infirmominiatum. RNAcentral's name for it is "partial small subunit ribosomal RNA". The record is from RNAcentral. Lineage: Eukaryota; Fungi; Basidiomycota; Tremellomycetes; Cystofilobasidiales; Cystofilobasidiaceae.
UUUCCGUAGGUGAACCUGCGGAAGGAUCACUA